Molecule: ribosomal RNA, 497 nt
Filed under: uncultured bacterium
Lineage: Bacteria
Description: partial 16S ribosomal RNA
Rfam family: Bacterial small subunit ribosomal RNA
Source: RNAcentral
GAUGAACGCUGGCGGCGUGUCUAAUACAUGCAAGUCGAGCGAACAGACGAGGAGCUUGCUCCUCUGACGUUAGCGGCGGGCGGGUGAGUAACACGUGGAUAACCUACCUAUAAGACUGGGAUAACUUCGGGAAACCGGAGCUAAUACCGGAUAAUAUAUUGAACCGCAUGGUUCCAUAGUGAAAGACGGUUUUGCUGUCACUUAUAGAUGGAUCCGCGCCGCAUUAGCUAGUUGGUAAGGUAACGGCUUACCAAGGCGACGAUGCGUAGCCGACCUGAGAGGCUGACCGGCCACACUGGAACUGAGACACGGUCCAGACUCCUACGGGAGGCAGCAGUGGGGAAUCUUCCUCAAUGGGCGAAAGCCUGACGGAGCACUGCCGCGUGAGUGAUGAAGGUCUUCGGUUCGUAAAACCCUGUUAUUAGGAAAGAACAAAUGUGUAGUGAUCUAGGCGCGUCUUGACGGUACCUAAUGAAAAAGCCGCGGCUAACUACGUG